RNAcentral lists this ribosomal RNA (460 nucleotides) under uncultured bacterium. RNAcentral's name for it is "partial 16S ribosomal RNA". It matches the Rfam family "Bacterial small subunit ribosomal RNA", at positions 338 to 795 of the family's 1533-position model. The record is from RNAcentral.
CCUACGGGGGACUGCAGUGAGGAAUAUUGGUCAAUGGACGAGAGUCUGAACCAGCCAAGUAGCGUGAAGGAUGACUGCCCUAUGGGUUGUAAACUUCUUUUAUAUGGGAAUAAAACGUUCCACGUGUGGGAUUUUGUAUGUACCAUAUGAAUAAGGAUCGGCUAACUCCGUGCCAGCAGCCGCGGUAAUACGGAGGAUCCGAGCGUUAUCCGGAUUUAUUGGGUUUAAAGGGAGCGGAGGGGGAUUGUUAAGUCAGUUGUGAAAGUUUGCGGCUCAACCGUAAAAUUGCAGUUGAAACUGGCAGUCUUGAGUACAGUAGAGGUGGGCGGAAUGCGUGGUGUAGCGGUGAAAUGCUUAGAUAUCACGAAGAACUCCGAUUGCGAAGGCAGUUCACUGGACUGCAACUGACACUGAGGCUCGAAAGUGUGGGUAUCAAACAGGAUUAGAUACCCGUGUAGUC